GACGAACGCUGGCGGCGUGCCUAAUACAUGCAAGUCGAACGAACUCUGGUAUUGAUUGGUGCUUGCAUCAUGAUUUACAUUUGAGUGAGUGGCGAACUGGUGAGUAACACGUGGGAAACCUGCCCAGAAGCGGGGGAUAACACCUGGAAACAGAUGCUAAUACCGCAUAACAACUUGGACCGCAUGGUCCGAGUUUGAAAGAUGGCUUCGGCUAUCACUUUUGGAUGGUCCCGCGGCGUAUUAGCUAGAUGGUGGGGUAACGGCUCACCAUGGCAAUGAUACGUAGCCGACCUGAGAGGGUAAUCGGCCACAUUGGGACUGAGACACGGCCCAAACUCCUACGGGAGGCAGCAGUAGGGAAUCUUCCACAAUGGACGAAAGUCUGAUGGAGCAACGCCGCGUGAGUGAAGAAGGGUUUCGGCUCGUAAAACUCUGUUGUUAAAGAAGAACAUAUCUGAGAGUAACUGUUCAGGUAUUGACGGUAUUUAACCAGAAAGCCACGGCUAACUACGUGCCAGCAGCCGCGGUAAUACGUAGGUGGCAAGCGUUGUCCGGAUUUAUUGGGCGUAAAGCGAGCGCAGGCGGUUUUUUAAGUCUGAUGUGAAAGCCUUCGGCUCAACCGAAGAAGUGCAUCGGAAACUGGGAAACUUGAGUGCAGAAGAGGACAGUGGAACUCCAUGUGUAGCGGUGAAAUGCGUAGAUAUAUGGAAGAACACCAGUGGCGAAGGCGGCUGUCUGGUCUGUAACUGACGCUGAGGCUCGAAAGGUAUGGUAGCAAACAGGAUUAGAUACCCUGGUAGUCCAUACCGUAAACGAUGAAUGCUAAGUGUUGGAGGGUUUCCGCCCUUCAGUGCUGCAGCUAACGCAUUAAGCAUUCCGCCUGGGGAGUACGGCCGCAAGGCUGAAACUCAAAGGAAUUGACGGGGGCCCGCACAAGCGGUGGAGCAUGUGGUUUAAUUCGAAGCUACGCGAAGAACCUUACCAGGUCUUGACAUACUAUGCAAAUCUAAGAGAUUAGACGUUCCCUUCGGGGACAUGGAUACAGGUGGUGCAUGGUUGUCGUCAGCUCGUGUCGUGAGAUGUUGGGUUAAGUCCCGCAACGAGCGCAACCCUUAUUAUCAGUUGCCAGCAUUAAGUUGGGCACUCUGGUGAGACUGCCGGUGACAAACCGGAGGAAGGUGGGGAUGACGUCAAAUCAUCAUGCCCCUUAUGACCUGGGCUACACACGUGCUACAAUGGAUGGUACAACGAGUUGCGAACUCGCGAGAGUAAGCUAAUCUCUUAAAGCCAUUCUCAGUUCGGAUUGUAGGCUGCAACUCGCCUACAUGAAGUCGGAAUCGCUAGUAAUCGCGGAUCAGCAUGCCGCGGUGAAUACGUUCCCGGGCCUUGUACACACCGCCCGUCACACCAUGAGAGUUUGUAACACCCAAAGUCGGUGGGGUAACCUUUUAGGAACCAGCCGCCUAAGGUGGGACAGAUGAUUAGGGUG
This 1489-nucleotide ribosomal RNA is filed under the name Lactiplantibacillus plantarum. Its description in RNAcentral is "bacterial SSU rRNA". It matches the Rfam family "Bacterial small subunit ribosomal RNA". The record is from RNAcentral. Lineage: Bacteria; Bacillati; Bacillota; Bacilli; Lactobacillales; Lactobacillaceae.